RNAcentral lists this ribosomal RNA (301 nucleotides) under uncultured bacterium. Its description in RNAcentral is "partial 16S ribosomal RNA". It matches the Rfam family "Bacterial small subunit ribosomal RNA", at positions 509 to 809 of the family's 1533-position model. The record is from RNAcentral.
CAGCAGCCGCGGUAAUACGUAGGGUGCAAGCGUUAAUCGGAAUUACUGGGCGUAAAGCGUGCGCAGGCGGUCCGCUAAGACAGAUGUGAAAUCCCCGGGCUUAACCUGGGAACUGCAUUUGUGACUGGCGGGCUAGAGUAUGGCAGAGGGGGGUAGAAUUCCACGUGUAGCAGUGAAAUGCGUAGAGAUGUGGAGGAAUACCGAUGGCGAAGGCAGCCCCCUGGGCCAAUACUGACGCUCAUGCACGAAAGCGUGGGGAGCAAACAGGAUUAGAUACCCGAGUAGUCCCUGUCUCUUAUAA